Long non-coding RNA from Octopus sinensis (East Asian common octopus), 107 nucleotides. RefSeq lists it as uncharacterized. The record is from RefSeq and is a predicted model, not a curated record. The transcript has 3 exons. NCBI's taxonomy places the organism in Eukaryota, Metazoa, Mollusca, Cephalopoda, Octopoda, Octopodidae.
AAGUAAAUAAAUGGAGUAAAACGAGGAUGUUAAUAAGAUUCUUUUACUUUCGACAUAUGUUUCGAAGACAACAUGGUUUUAUUCCAAAGGAAUAAACGGUGUAAGAU